Molecule: non-coding RNA, 1710 nt
Organism: Monodelphis domestica (gray short-tailed opossum)
Lineage: Eukaryota; Metazoa; Chordata; Mammalia; Didelphimorphia; Didelphidae
Source: RefSeq, a predicted model, not a curated record
UGAACUUAUGGGUAAGAGAGAGUUUUCCCAGAAUGCUUUGGGAGACAGUUACUCAACUGACUUUUCAUUCUUUGGAUUGACCCUGUUCUGAAAGGAAGUCCUAAGAGCUUCUCAGUGAGAUCUGGAAAAGUGUUUUCAUAUCUAAAUAUUCAUCUAAAAGGCCUGACAAGUGAAGAAGAUUGUUAGGUGAAACAUUAGUGCAAACCCCAACAGGUUUGCUUGAGUAAAUGUGGGCCACCUGUUGUGAGAUGUCUCAUCUCAAGAAGUAGCCUGGUUAGGAUCACAGGAUGCUGAACUUGGUGUCAGAUGCUAUAAGGCUAGACACUAUUUGCUUGCUACAAAUUCAAGUUGAGAAUCAUUCAAGGGGUAAUGGAGAGGUAAAUGGUGAGUAUUAGUAGGCUGCAACAUAAUACCAAUGAAGAAUUACACAAGAGAAAUGACAGUAAAGGGUAUCAUCAAGUAAAUGCAUGACUAGAAAAAGAAAGUGUACUGGUCAUGUAAAAAGAAAAAGAUCUCAUUCAACCUGUUGGGCAAAUUUUCUUUGAAGGUUCUACAAAUGGAUAUGAAGAGAUAUGCAAGAAGACAAGAGUAUGGAAUGGUUUGUGUUCUAUUAGAUGAAGUAAUCAUGUCAAUGACCAUAUAGUAUUUUUGCAGAGAACUAUCUUUGAAAGUAACUUUUGCAUUAGGAUUUUUGUAAAUCACUAUCAGUCAAAUCAGCUAUUACCUGUUAUUUGUUAUUAACACCAAAAUAAUAUGUUGGGUUCUAAUAAAAAUAACACAAGAAAUUUUAGUUUUAUCCUUUUAUAGUGACUACCUUCUGUCUGUACUGAAAACAUUUAUCAUUCAUGUUGUUUGGAGUAAUGGUCUCCAAAGUGGGGGCAAAGGCAAGAACCCAAGGGGCAUGUGAUCAACCAGAGAGUGGGAGGAUUGAUGAAAUUCUACCCUUCCAUAUGAUAGCCAAUUCUGGGCCUGUCUCCAGGAAAAUCAUGGCUAUCAAUGUUUCCUAAUAUUUCUUCCUUCUCUUGGGGAAGCUUCCAACUUUCUUCCUUAAAAACUAGGUAUUAAAUCUUCCAGGGAAUUUACUACUAACCAAGAACUCCCUACAGCAGUUAUGCGGGUGCCACUGGGAAAAUUCUUCCCUCCACCAUUAGCAUACACAUUCUUUCCUUUCCCCUAUAACCUCUGGGUAAUAGCAGGUGUUCCUCAAAAGGGGAGGCUUGGAUUUCUGGGGCAGAGAAUAGGAAGAUCCUUCUUGGCCACCCUCCUCCACUUUUAAUUUGGGUGGGACAUAUUUAGGCACAGGAUGAGCAUGUAGGAUGAAUUGUAUUCUGCAUUUUAGUCAUCUUUAUAUUAUCUCUAGCCCCAAAUCCACUCCUCUCCUGAACUUCCCUAUGUUGUUAAAGAUAUAUAAUUGGAUCAAAACUUCUGUGUCAUCUUCAAUUUAUCAUUCUCCACUGCUAAUAAUUUGCCAAAUCUAAUCAUUUUUCCUACCAUAAUAUCGUUCAUUUGUUUCCUUAUCUCUACUCACAUAGCUACCAAUAUGGUUUAGUUCUUUUCUGCUGGGACCAUUACAGUAGCUUGCUAACUGAACUCCAUGCCAGUGGUUUCUCCUCUAUCCAAACCAUUCUUCACAUAGCUACAAAUGACUUUCCUAAAAGCAUAAAUCUGACCACAUCACUCCCCUACUCAGAAAGCUCCGGUGGCUUUCAA